Molecule: ribosomal RNA, 486 nt
Filed under: uncultured bacterium
Lineage: Bacteria
Description: partial 16S ribosomal RNA
Rfam family: Bacterial small subunit ribosomal RNA
Source: RNAcentral
GAUGAACGCUGGCGGCGUGCUUAACACAUGCAAGUCGAACGCUGAGGCCCUGGCUUUUGUUGGGUUGGGUGAGUGGCGAACGGGUGAGUAACACGUGAGUAACCUGCCCUCUUGUUUGGGAUAACGUCCGGAAACGGGUGCUAAUACUGGAUAUUUACUGAUCUUCGCCUGGGGGUUGGUGGAAAGGUUUGUUCUGGUGGGGGAUGGGCUUGCGGCCUAGUCUCUAGUUGGUGGGGUGAUGACGUACCAAGGCGUUGACGGGUAGCUGGCCGGGGAGGGUGACCAGGCAAAUUGGAAAUGAGAUAGGGCCCAAAGGCAUACGGAAGGGAGCAAUGUUGAAUAAUGCACAAAGGGCUAACGCCGGAACGGGCGACGACGCAUGAGGGUUUAAGGCAGUUGGGAUGUAAACCUCAUUCGCUCAGAAACAAGCCGCAACUGAUGGUUGUGGUGAGGGUAGUGAGUGAGAAAGCGCCGGCUAACUACGUG